Molecule: long non-coding RNA, 8049 nt
Filed under: Sus scrofa (pig)
Lineage: Eukaryota; Metazoa; Chordata; Mammalia; Artiodactyla; Suidae
Description: lncRNA (ENSSSCG00040074515.1)
Source: RNAcentral
GGCAUUGCGCUGCCUCCACGAAGAUACCAUCAGCCCUCAUCAGACACCAAUUUUCUAGUUUGUAGACUAGCCAGACCUUCUUAUUCCCAUCCUAUUCGGCAGAAUCAAGAAAACAAAAUUCGAAUUGGACAAUUUUUCUAUUUGUAAGCACUUUAUAGAAAGGGUUUGGUUGCAGAAGUGAUUCAAGCUACUGACCAGAAUUCAGUUUUCAGGCUGUACGUGCCUAUAAAAUGACUUUGUCCUCUUGGAGAGAAGUCUGGAAGGGACCCAAAGGCUUGGCCAAGACUUCUGGGUCUCCACUCCUUUCAGCUUAAGCCUCUGGGAGGCCAAGAAGAAGGUUAGACCCAUUCCUAUUUCAGUGUUUUUGGUCCUUGGAGGGAUCCUGUGUCCUCUCUCAAGGCUCUGGGCAGCACGUGGGACACUAUUGCACAAAACGUAGCACAGUCUUGGUGAAAUAACCUUCCAAGUUAAGAUGUGCUUUGAGGAUUAGGACCACCCAGGAUGAAGAACUGCCUGAGCACGGUGACCCCAUUGUUCAUACGAGGGGUUGAGGAGGCAACAAGUCUACUUCUUGGGAGAAAUGCUGUGAAGACCAUGGAGCAAACUGAAGGCUCACGCUCUCUAUUGACGUGGCAAAGUCAACUCAGAAAAUGACUGUGUCCAGCUUUCGUGGGCUCCAGGCUCCAAGCUCUCAUUCACACCCUUCAGUUCUAUUAAGUCAGAACUGGACCAGGAGAAUUUGGGGAAGAGCAGCUCUGAAUUCGAGACUCGCCACUUGAGAGAUGUGUAUCCUUUCUGAGAUGCAGUUGCCUGAUCUGGAAAAUUGGGAUGAUCAUUUCUGUCACAGAGAGUCGGUGAAAAUCCUAAGGUGGAGAAGAGACUGAAUAUGCCCACUGUGCCCAAGGCAGGGCUAGAGUUGAUUUGGGGUUUACUUGGCUUCAUGGAUUUGAAACCAUAGAUGCUCUUACACAUCUUUCCCGUUUGAUUGGAGUGAAGCAUGCCACUCCUAAAAAGAAACUACUCGUUCUUUCAUUUCCUUCAAAAAAAAAAAAAGAGAGAGAGAGAGAAGAAGAAGAAAUUUAAUUUGGAUUCGGCUAAUACCCUUAUAACAUCUAAAGCUGUCAAGCAAAAAGAAGAGUAGAUAAUUAGAAGAUGAUGGGAGCCAGCACAGAGCCGAGUGGAGGAAAAGACAGGCACAGGGAAUUUGCACCAGGGACACGAGCUAGAACUGUUUCUGCACCAGACUGAAGUUACCACUGUCCAAGUCUACACUGUAUGCUGGCAAAUAGUCCCACUUCUUGCUGCACGGGCCCCUGCAGCUCUGCCAUGUUAAGCCCUGGCCCUUUCUCCGCGACAGCAUCUCUUACUCUUCACCCGUGUGGUCAUGGAAGUCGUCCUCCCACCGUCUCCAGACCUGUCCAGGUCUUUCAGCACCUGUGAAACCAAUUCUCUGCAUCCGUUCCCUUUGCUGUAAAUGCUUGAAGUGGUUUCUCUUUUCUGUGGAGCCCCUGGUGCUGCGUCCCCUACACCUCUGAGCCUGUGCCUCUUUCUGCUCUGUACUGGGCACGUCAGUAUGGUACCCGGACGAUGUCAGUGCCACCAACACCACAGGUGUUGCAUCAACAAGUGACAGCCCUAUGGGAGCUCUGUCAGUGCUUUCUCAUCAGGGACCCCUGCCAGGUGUCAGGAAGCACAGAUGAGAAAAUGGAGACUUGGAGGAGUAAUUUGCCCAAGAUCAUGCUGUGGGGCAGGGAUCUGAAUCCAGACAGUCUGACUCCAAAACCCAACUUCGUAACCACCAAAAUGUCUCUCAUUUGUUGGGACAAACCUGGUUAUGGAACCAGGUUCUUUUGCCUGAUGUGCAGCAAACCAAAUGCUGAGAUGCUGAGGUUUACAGAAGAGAAAAGGUUUAUUCACAAGGCACCCAAGCGAGGCGAUGGGAGGACAAGUUUCAGAUCUGCUUCCUUGAAGCCCUCGAAGCCGUGUGUGGAUCAAACACGUUGCGAAGUGACAAGAGCCAGGAGUGCUGAGUUUCGAGGAGGACGUGAGUCCCUGCCAACCGACUUUGGAAUUGCUGUGAGUGAGACACAAGCUUUCACUGUGUGAAACCCUGUGACUUGGGGGUUCAUCUUUUACCACAGCAUUGUCUAGCCUGACCAGAUUCAUUUGCAUAAGAAAAUCUCCACUGCCUUCAGAAUAUAAAGUAUAUUUCUGUAAACGUUGCAGAAAGCUAGUAUCUUGAUAAGAUAUAGAAAUUCUUCCACUCUUUCCUCUUACUGCAGUUCUUUCACUCCUUCUCUACCUUAAUGGGUUGGAGUUUGUCAUCAAGUCAGUCAGUCAACCAGGAUGCAGAUGUGAGUUUCCUUGUGGAAACAGGUGCCAGCAAAUAUUGCGUACCCCACCCGGAAGUACUGUGCCAAGUUAAAUCUAACCGAGGUCUUUUAGGUCGUUUCUGCCCACAUGAACCCAGGGUCGCUGAGUAUUAUUCCUUCAGCCCCAUCCACGCGAAAAGCUUCUUGGGUGAAGACAUGGAAUGCAGUUCAGCCCCAGGAUAUAUUCCUGCAAGGAGGAGUGCCAUGUACGACAGAUCAGAGACGGUAGGUGACAUGAUUUUGCACUCACGCCUAUUCCCUGCCUGCUCCUGUCCCAUCCUGUUCUAAACACCAGCAUCGCCUUGAAAUUCCCUUAAGCAAACUGAGACGCCAUAAGAAUCUCUACUGGUAUUGAUCCCAAUGCUGCAUAGUUUCUCUCCUGAACACUUUUUACCCAUAUUUAUACACAGGUAUGCAUAUCGGUAUGCAUGUAUAUACAUAAAUGCUUCUUAUAAUGAGUUUCUUCAUCAUGAAAGAUGAAUUAAUCACUUCAUUGACCUUACUAUAUAAUUUGCUGCAACGUACAGGAUUUACCAGACAACACCUACCACCUUAUAACAUCAGGACUUGCCCUUUGAGUCUAUAUUAAAUGAAUGCUUUCUUUGCCUUUAAGCAGUCAUAAUAAAUCAUACUGCACAAUUAAAUAGCUAUCACUCUUUAAUUAAGGAGUCAUCUUCUCCACUUCACCUGAUCUUGCCCAGUUUCCAGCAUGACCUGGUGCUUAAAGCUCAAGGAGAAAGUAAUUCAUAUUAUAAAUGUAUAACAGGGAAGUUCCCUUGUGUCGCAGCAGGUUAAGGAUCCACUGUUGCCACAAUAGUGGCGCAGGUGGUUACUGCAGUGCAGUUUUGAUCCCUGGCCCACGAACUUUCAUGUGCCAUGGGUGCAGCCAAAAAUAAAUAAAUAAACGAAAACGUAUAACAGACCAUUCAUGAGCUAAUCCUUGAAGAUAUUUUUCUCCAAUCAAAAGUUAUUUAGGAAUUUCCCUGGAGUUCCCAUCGUGGCAUGGUGGAAAUGAAUCUGACUAGUAUCACUGAAGGUGUAGGUUCGAUCCCUGGCCUCACUCAGUGGGUUAAGGAUCCGGUGUUUCUGUAAGCUGUGGCAUAGGUUGCAGACAUGGCUCGGAUCUGGCAUUGCUAUGGCUGUGGGGGUAGGCUGGCAGCUACAGUUCCAAUUCAACCCCCAGCCUGGGAACCUCCAUAUGCCUUAGGUGCAGCCCUAAAAAAUAAAAAUAAAAAUAAAAAUUAAAAAAAAAACUAAGGAAUUUCCCAUUGUGGCUCAGCAGUAGCAAACCCGACAAGCAUCCAUGAGGACUCAGGUUUGAUCCCUGGCCUUGCUCAGUGGAUUAAGGAUCUGGCAUUGCUCUGGCUGUGGCAUAAGCCAACAGCUGUAGCCAGGGAACUUCAAUAUGCCACAGGUGUGGCCCUAAAAGGAAAAAAAUAAAGUUAUUUAAAUCAAGGGAAAACCCUUUGAAAAACUCUUCCCUCAUAUACCUAACUGCUGUCACAUGGCUAUUUCAUUUUGUUCACUUCUGGCCAUUCGAUUUUCCCCUUUAAAGAGCAUUAGUUUCUACAGAAACAAGAAUGUUUGGGGAAAGCUUAGAAAUAUCCAGACCACAUGUGGUAUACAGUAAACUCCUGCAAUGUUUUGAAAUGUAUCUCCUGGUUUAGUUAAUUGAAGAAUAGAAUUAUAGAAGGUCACUGUUGCUAUAUCUCAGAUAUGAGUUUAUUUGACAGAUUAUAUGCUCAUAUUUGGGCCUGUCCCUAGCUUAUUUUAUAUGAUUCUGAUAAAGUAUUUCCUGAGAGCUAAAACCUUUCCUUAAAUUUUGCUGCAUUGCUUGAUUAUUUUGAAAAAUGGCAGCUGAAUUAAAGGAAUUGUUUACUCCUAGAGCAAAAUGCAGCUUUUGGUACCCUGGCCUCACCUACAUUUGCUUUAUUAGCCUCAAAACAUUUUUUGAAAUGAGGUUGACUUGCUACUUACUGCGCUAAGGAGGCACCUCAAAACAUUUUUUUUUAAAGAUCCUCUGAGAUCGGCUCUAAGGAAAUUCAAAUCAGGGCCUGUCACAGGUGAGUGACAAGAAUAUAGAUGAGAAAACACAGAGAUGUUUUCACCAACUGUCUCUCUCUAUGGCUGCUGAACAGAAUGAAAUUGAUACGCCUCACCCAAUCUUUAGUGAAAUAGAAGUUCCAUGAAGACAUGGAUCUGGCAUGUCUCUGGGUCUUGAGUGAGCGCCCUUGGCUAUCUUGAAGCAGAGGAUCUUGUGUUUUUCUAAAUAGUAAUUUAUGUGCAAUCUGCCUUUAUUGUUGUUUGCUAAGCAAGGUUAUAAUUUAUUCACUCAUCAAAUAUUUACCAAUGUUUGCUACGUAUCAGGAAUUGUUCUAGGUGUUGGUAAUACAGCAACGAGUAAAAGAGAUUAAAGUCCUCAACCCUAUUAGCUCACAGUAGGACUUCUAUAUUCCCAGAUAAAAUAAGUAAAAUAAAAUAUAUUUUAUUGCUAUGGAUGGAAAUAAAGAAGGGAGGGUAUUAGAGAAUGUUUGAGGGGAGGCCAUAAGUUCAGAUAGGCUGGCUAGGGUACUUAUCUUUACUAUGGAACAUCCUUCAGGUUAAAAGGUUGCCAGGAUUUGUAUCCAGAAAACCCUAUAGUCAUAUUCAACUGAGUUUCACCAAAUCUACCACCAAAACACUUCAUAUAAAUUGAUGACUUCCUCUAGUUUUGAUUUUUCUAACUUUUCUAGUUUUAAUUCUUACAGAAGUAUGGAAAAAAACAAAGAUAUUUCCAGUCUUAUUAAAGUUUCAAAGUGGUAUAGCUGAUCAGUCACUCAGGAAUUUUACAAAUAUUUUUUGAGUACCUACUCUGUGGCAAACAUUACAAUAUAUUGAUGAGAAUACUUUUAGUUGCAUAUUAAAAAAACAAAAAACAAAAAACGUGACUCAGAGUUUGCUGGUGGCUCAGUGGAUUAAGGAUCCAGCAUUGUCACUGCCGUGGCUGAGGUCACUGCUAUGACACAAGAUCAAUCCCUGGACUCAGAACUUCCGCAUGCCAGCAAAAUAAAAGAUAAAAAUGGAGUUCCCGUUGUGGCUCAGCGGUUAACAAACCCAACUAGCAUCUGUGAGGACACAGGUUCAAUCCCUGGCCUCGCUCAGUGGCUUAAGGAUCUGGCAUUGCUGUGAGCUGUGGUGCAGGUCGCAGAUGCAGCUCGGAUCCUGCGUUGCUGUGGCUCUGGUGUAGGCCAGAAGCUACAGCUCCGAAUGGACCCCUAGCCUGGGACCUUCCAUAUGCUGCGAGUGUGACCCUAAAAAAAAAAGUGAUUCAAAAUAGCUUAAAAAUGAAAGAAAUGUUUUGGCUCAUGUAACUGAAAAGUGCAGACGUAGGGCUCGGUUCUGGCUAGGCUUGAUCCAGUAGCUCAGCAAUGUUAACCAAGGAACAUGUUUUCUUACCAUCUGUUUUUCUGCUCUGCUUUCUGCAUCAUCACCUACUUGUCCCAAGAUGGUUGCUAGCAGCUCCCAGACAGGGUUUCAUUACUCCCAGCAAAAUUCUGAGAGUCACUGUGAUUGGGCCAACUUGGGUCCAAUGUCCACUUUUGAGCCAAUAUUGUAACCAGAGGAAGGAAUACAGUGACUGGCUUAGCCUCGGUCAUGUGUGUCAACCCUGAAACCACAGUGGUAGUCAGCCUCUCUGAAACCACGUGAUCUAUGAAUGGAAAUGGAUUCUCUUGAGAAGGAAGAAUUUGGGAAAGAAUUAGUGAACACACCAAAAAGAGAGUAUCCACUACAUCUCAAUUCAGAAUUUGAAGAUGAGUGAAACUGGCAUAGUUGCUGCCUUCAAAUAAUUUUUCCUAAUUGUUCCUAAAUCUUUCCAAACCAUUUAUUCAUAUUGCCCUUUUCAUUCUUCUUAUUCAUUUUUGAACCCAAUAGAAAUAUAGCUUGAGAUGGAUAAUAAAUAUUUAAUAAAUACAUAAAUGAGAACAUAUGCGUGUGGUGGGUCUUCCUGUCCAGAAUCUAGAAUACACAUGCAGCUAGCUCCAUGUGACCUGGUUCUCUGAAGCUUACACUACGUGGAUGUAAGAAAGCAAUGGACCAUCCUCAGGGAAAUGCAACUCAAAACCACAGUGAGACUAUCAUCUCACACCCGAUAGAAUGGCUGUUAUCAAAACGUCAAGAAAUAGCAAGCACUGACCAGGAUGCGAAAGAAGAGAACACUUGUGCUCUGUUGGUGGCCAUGUAAAUUGGUGCAGCCACUAUGGAAAACAGUACAGAGAUUUCUCAAAAAAUGGAAAAAAGAACUGCCCUACAAACCAGCAAUUUCAUUUCUGGGUAUUUAUCCAAAGAAAACAAAAAUACUAACUUGAAAAGAUAUAUGUACCCCCAUGUUCACUGAAGCAUUACUUACAAUGGCCGAGAUAUGGAAACAACAUUAAGGGUCCAUUGAUGGGUGAAUGGGUAAACACACUGUGGGUGUAUGUAUACACACACACACACACACACACACACACACACACACAUUCGGUAUAUAUACACAAUGGAAUAUUGUUCAGCCAUUAAAAAGAAGAAUGAAACCUUGCCAUUUGUGACAAAAUAAGUGGACCUCAAAAGCAUUAUGCCAAGUGAAAUAAGUCCGAGAAAGACAAAUACUGUAUGAUCUCACCUAUACGUGGAAUCUAAACGAAACAAAACCAAGCUCAUAGAUACAAGAGAACAAAUUGGUGGUUACCAGAGGCAGGAAGCAGGAGUCAACAGGUAAAAUGUGCAGGGAUAAAAUAAUUAUGACCUGGGAAUAUAGUGUACAGCUUAGGGACUAUAGAUAGUAAUACUUUAUUGCAUAUUUCAAAAUUGCUAGAAGAGUACAUCUUAAAAUUUCUCAUUACAAGGAAAAAACGUUUGUAGCUGUGUAAGGUGAUAGAUGUUAGCUGGACUUACUACGGUGAUCAUUUUUACAAUGUUUACAAAUAUCAAAUCAUUAUGUUGUACACCUGAGACUAAUGGUAUCUGCUCGUAUAUAAUACGUUAUCAUAGCUCAAUUCAAAAUAAAUUAAAAAACAAACAAAAAGCAAUGCCACCUUUAAGAGGCCACCUCUUCCCAUCUUGGGCGAAAGAAGGAAGACCCUUCUCUGGCUGGGAGCGUUUCACUAGGAGUUGACUCUAGAAGCUACAUAGGAGUUUCUACUGGAGUCCUUAACACUUUUUGUUUAGAAAAACAGCACUCAAGGCUGGCCCAUGAACCACAUCAGACCAGGAACAACUGAGAAUUCUCUGUUCUGUAUAGACUUAAGUGAGCUGCAUUGGCAUUGCAGAGAAAGUCUGAUCCCCAGGGGUUGUGGUCUAACAGGAGCUGAGAAAACUCAGAAGAGUGAUGGAAUUGGGGGGUGGUGACAGGCCAGAAACCAGCCAACAAUGACCUGCCAUCACUUAAGGCAGAAAGGAUAGAGGAACUGCAGGAGACGGCUGCUGACAGUGAAACUGGAGACAUCAGGCAGGGCCCAAGGAGAGUCCCAGACCAGUACAAGAGGCUGGGUUUGUGACAUCUCCCCAUUGCUAGGUGCAAUGACAUGGCCCUCAAUGGCCGCACAGCAAAUGUAGAGGGAGAAACUUCAAUUGCUCAAACCAUUAGUUUUACUGUUAUUUACGGAAUGGACCUCAAAACCCACAAUUGCUUGCUCAAGCUAAAAAAAAAAAAAAAAAA